Molecule: ribosomal RNA, 481 nt
Filed under: uncultured bacterium
Lineage: Bacteria
Description: partial 16S ribosomal RNA
Rfam family: Bacterial small subunit ribosomal RNA
Source: RNAcentral
GACGAACGCUGGCGGCGUGCUUAACACAUGCAAGUCGGACGGGAUCCGGGCUUUCGGGUUUGGUGAGAGUGGCGAACGGGUGAGUAACACGUGAGUAACCUGCCCCCUUCUUUGGGAUAACGUCGGGAAAUCGGCGCUAAUACUGGAUAUUCUUGCUGCAUCGCAUGGUGUGGUUUGGAAAGGGUUUCUGGUGGGGGAUGGGCUCGCGGCCUAUCAGCUUGUUGGUGGGGUGAUGGCCUACCAAGGCUUUGACGGGUAGCCGGCCUGAGAGGGUGUCCGGCCACACUGGGACUGAGACACGGCCCAGACUCCUACGGGAGGCAGCAGUGGGGAAUAUUGCACAAUGGGCGCAAGCCUGAUGCAGCGACGCCGCGUGAGGGAUGACGGCCUUCGGGUUGUAAACCUCUUUCAGUAUGGAACAAGGAUCCUUCUUUUGGGGGGUUUGAGGGUACGUGCAGAAGAAGCGCCGGCUAACUACGUG